GACGAACGCUGGCGGCGUGCUUAACACAUGCAAGUCGAACGGAAAGGCCCUGCUUUUGUGGGGUGCUCGAGUGGCGAACGGGUGAGUAACACGUGAGUAACCUGCCCUUGACUUUGGGAUAACUUCAGGAAACUGGGGCUAAUACCGGAUAGGAGCUCCUGCUGCAUGGUGGGGGUUGGAAAGUUUCGGCGGUUGGGGAUGGACUGGCGGCUUAUCAGCUUGUUGGUGGGGUAGUGGCUUACCAAGGCUUUGACGGGUAGCCGGCCUGAGAGGGUGACCGGCCACAUUGGGACUGAGAUACGGCCCAGACUCCUACGGGAGGCAGCAGUGGGGAAUAUUGCACAAUGGGCGGAAGCCUGAUGAAGCAACGCCGCGUGCGGGAUGACGGCCUUCGUGUUGUAAACCGCUUUCGCCUGUGACGAUGCGUGAGUGACGGUAAUGGGUAAAGAAGCACCGGCUAACUACGUG
RNAcentral lists this ribosomal RNA (468 nucleotides) under uncultured bacterium. RNAcentral describes it as "partial 16S ribosomal RNA". It matches the Rfam family "Bacterial small subunit ribosomal RNA", at positions 28 to 507 of the family's 1533-position model. The record is from RNAcentral.